RNAcentral lists this ribosomal RNA (250 nucleotides) under uncultured Amaricoccus sp. Its description in RNAcentral is "partial 16S ribosomal RNA". It matches the Rfam family "Bacterial small subunit ribosomal RNA", at positions 524 to 773 of the family's 1533-position model. The record is from RNAcentral. Lineage: Bacteria; Pseudomonadati; Pseudomonadota; Alphaproteobacteria; Rhodobacterales; Paracoccaceae.
UACGGAGGGGGCUAGCGUUGUUCGGAAUUACUGGGCGUAAAGCGCACGUAGGCGGAUAGUUAAGUUAGAGGUGAAAGCCCAGGGCUCAACCCUGGAACUGCCUUUAAUACUGGCUGUCUAGAGAUCGAGAGAGGUGAGUGGAAUUCCGAGUGUAGAGGUGAAAUUCGUAGAUAUUCGGAGGAACACCAGUGGCGAAGGCGGCUCACUGGCUCGAUACUGACGCUGAGGUGCGAAAGCGUGGGGAGCAAAC